This 433-nucleotide ribosomal RNA is filed under the name uncultured bacterium. Its description in RNAcentral is "partial 16S ribosomal RNA". It matches the Rfam family "Bacterial small subunit ribosomal RNA", at positions 29 to 507 of the family's 1533-position model. The record is from RNAcentral.
AACGAACGCUGGCGGCAUGCCUAACACAUGCAAGUCGAACGAGACCUUCGGGUCUAGUGGCGCACGGGUGCGUAACGCGUGGGAACCUGCCCUUAGGUUCGGAAUAACUCCCCGAAAGGGGUGCUAAUACCGGAUAAUGUCUUCGGACCAAAGAUUUAUCGGCUUUGGAUGGGCCCGCGUUGGAUUAGCUAGUUGGUAGGGUAAAAGCCUACCAAGGCGACGAUCCAUAGCUGGUCUGAGAGGAUGAUCAGCCACACUGGGACUGAGACACGGCCCAGACUCCUACGGGAGGCAGCAGUUGGGAAUAUUGGACAAUGGGCGAAAGCCUGAUCCAGCACUGCCGCGUGAGUGAUGAAGGCCUUAGGGUUGUAAAGCUCUUUUACCCGGGAUGAUAAUGACAGUACCGGGAGAAUAAGCUCCGGCUAACUACGUG